RNAcentral lists this ribosomal RNA (300 nucleotides) under uncultured Pyrodictium sp. RNAcentral describes it as "partial 16S ribosomal RNA". It matches the Rfam family "Bacterial small subunit ribosomal RNA", at positions 495 to 795 of the family's 1533-position model. Lineage: Archaea; Thermoproteati; Thermoproteota; Thermoprotei; Desulfurococcales; Pyrodictiaceae. The record is from RNAcentral.
GUGACAGUGCGCCCGGCAGCGGGGGGAAUACGAACCUGGGGAACGUGGUGCGGGAGCACUGGGCGUGAAGGGGGCGUAGGCGGGCUGUCAAGUCCGGGGGGAAAUGUUUCGGCUCAACCGGAAAAGUGCCUUGGAUACUGAUGGUCUGGAGGGAGGUAGGGGUAUGUGGAACUUCCGGUGGAGCGGUGAAAUGCGUUGAUAUCGGAAGGAACGCCGGUGGCGAAAGCGACGUACUGGACCUCUUCUGACGCUGAGGCGCGAAAGCUAGGGGAGCGAACGGGAUUAGAUACCCGUGUAGUC